GCUAAGAAUCUUCCGCAAUGGGCGAAAGCCUGACGGAGCGACGCCGCGUGAACGAAGAAGGCCGUGAGGUUGUAAAGUUCUUUUCGGGAGGGGGAACAACCGUGGCAGGGAAUGGCCGCGGGAUGACGUGAAUCCCGGAAUAAGCCCCGGCUAACUACGUGCCAGCAGCCGCGGUAACACGUAGGGGGCGAGCGUUGUUCGGAAUCAUUGGGCGUAAAGGGCGUGCAGGCGGUCCUGCAAGUCCGGCGUGAAAGACCCCGGCCCAACCGGGGGGACGCGCUGGAAACUGCAGGGCUUGAGUACAGGAGGGGAUGCCGGAAUUCCAGGUGUAGGGGUGAAAUCUGUAGAUAUCUGGAAGAACACCAAUGGCGAAGGCAGGCAUCUGGCCAUGUACUGACGCUGAGACGCGAAGGUGCGGGGAGCAAACAGGUUUAGAUACCCUGGUAGUCC
Molecule: ribosomal RNA, 450 nt
Filed under: uncultured bacterium
Lineage: Bacteria
Description: partial 16S ribosomal RNA
Rfam family: Bacterial small subunit ribosomal RNA
Source: RNAcentral